Molecule: ribosomal RNA, 516 nt
Filed under: uncultured bacterium
Lineage: Bacteria
Description: partial 16S ribosomal RNA
Rfam family: Bacterial small subunit ribosomal RNA
Source: RNAcentral
GACGAACGCUGGCGGCAUGCCUAAUACAUGCAAGUCGAGCGGAGUUGAUGGAAAGCUUGCUUUCCUGAUACUUAGCGGCGGACGGGUGAGUAACACGUAGGCAACCUGCCCUCAAGCUUGGGACAACUACCGGAAACGGUAGCUAAUACCGAAUACUUGUUUUCUUCGCCUGAAGAGAACUGGAAAGACGGAGCAAUCUGUCACUUGGGGAUGGGCCUGCGGCGCAUUAGCUAGUUGGUGAGGUAACGGCUCACCAAGGCGACGAUGCGUAGCCGACCUGAGAGGGUGAUCGGCCACACUGGGACUGAGACACGGCCCAGACUCCUACGGGAGGCAGCAGUAGGGAAUCUUCCGCAAUGGGCGAAAGCCUGACGGAGCAAUGCCGCGUGAGUGAUGAAGGUUUUCGGAUCGUAAAGCUCUGUUGCCAGGGAAGAACGCUUGGGAGAGUAACUGCUCCCAAGGUGACGGUACCUGAGAAGAAAGCCCCGGCUAACUACGUGCCAGCAGCCGCAGUAA